CGAGGAGUGAGUAUCAUUCUCAUCAUCUCAGUCUCAGGGUGGCUCAUACUCUGCUGCACUCAGAUGUCCUCUGCUACAACUAAACAACCCAUGAGGUAUGGGUGACUUGAAACUUGUUUAAUCUUCAGUUACCAGGCAUUUAUUUGCUUCCCAGGGAUGAAGGUGAGACUGACUGACCAAUGGUUUCCUGGCUCCUUCAUCUUGCCAUUUUUGAAGACUGGAGUCCUCAGGCAACUCUCCUGUUCUCCAUGACCUUUCAUAGGUGACAGAGAGUAGUUCAGCAACCACUUCUGAUAGAUUCCUCAGCAGUCAUGGGUGCAUUCCAUUGUGUUCAGUGGAUUUGUGUGUGUUCAGUUUGCCUAGACAAUCUCUAACCAGAUUCUCCUUGGGAGCGGUGAUAUUUGGUUCCAGUCCCAGAUCAGAUUCAGGAAAAGUGGAGAUGAGAAGAAAAUCAAACAGACAGAAAAUUCUGUACUUGCCAGAAUUUUAUUUUCCACUGACACAUUUUUCAUCUUAGGACAAGCACUGCUACCUGAAUAACCAAGGUUAGUAAGGCCCAAAAGAAAAGAUGGAAAUGAAAGCUAUCCUCAACACUGACCAUGCUGUCUCCGCUACUGGCUUGAGAGGCUGCUCUCCAGAGAACUUUGGUGGCCCCAUCUAGGGCAUCUCAUGGACACCGCACAAGUUCUGCAAGCUGGCACACAUAUCCUCAAAGGCAAGACUGGGAACCAUAAGUCCCUUCUGUCCCACACACAGACGUUGUUCUCGUUUAUUUUCUGUCUCUAUUCCUGUUUCUCUCAUAGAAAAUCUUCUAGUGGAGUGAUGCUUCCCUUAUACUGAUUCAGUCUGCAUGGCUGUGUCAAAAGUUAUCAGGGGAGGUAGAGAGACCAGGGACUUUAUGGAAUAAAAAGGAAUGAGAAGGGCAUGCCCUGGCUGAAUUUGUGAUCUGGAGGCAAAUGGGCACGGAAACCAGAACAAGACAGGACCCUGAACUUCAGGAGAGUGAACUUUCAGCUGUUUAAGGAAUAACUGAAUAGGAUUCCCCAGGGAAGCUGUCUUAAGGGACAAAGGAGUGGAGCAGAGCUGGCACUGCUUUAAGGAUGCCUUUCUGAAAGCACAAGAGCUCUCCAUGUCCCCAUGUCCCAGCAUAAGAAAUCAAGCUAAGGAGGCAGGAAACCAGCAUGACUGGGCAAGGAUCUUCUGGUCAAACUGAAGGAAAAGAAGGACAAGUACAGGCAGUGGAGGCAAGGACAUGUCAGUGAAGAACACAGGAAUGCCAUCUAGACAUGCAGAGUUGGGAUCAGGAAAACCAAGGUGCGUGUGGAACUGAACUUAGUGAGGUACGCUGAUCAGAAGAGACUGACCAAGGAGAUCAUACCCUCUGUGAUAAAAGAGAAUGGAGAACUGGAUUCAAAAGACUUGGGGAAGGCUGAGGUACACAAUAAGUUCUUUGCCUUAGUCUUCACUGACAGUCAGGCAUUCCACAUCCUUCAUGUUCCUGAAACUAUACGAGGGGUAUGGGGAAGGAAAAUCCCUCCAACUGUAUGAGAAGGGGACAUCUGAGACCACCAGAUGAGACUGAACCUGCACAAGUCUGUGGGGCCAGAUAACAAGCAUCACAGGGUUCUGAAGGAGUCAGCUGAUGUAGUGGCCAAGCCACUAUCAUAUUUUAAAAGUCAUGGCUAUCAGGCAAAGUUUCCCAGUGACUGAAAAAAAGGAAAAAAACCACUCCCAUUAAAAAAAAAAAAAAAAGUAGAAAGAAAGACCUAGGGAACUACAGGCUGAUCAGCCUCACAUUUGUGCCUGGGAAGAUCAUGGAGCAGAUGUGGAAGAGAUGUUAAGGCACACGUGAGAUGAAGAGGUGAUCCAAGAUAGCCAGCAUAGCUUCAUCAAAGACAGACUGUGCCUGACCAAUCUGGUGGCCUUCUAUAGUGGAACAGUGGCAUCAGUGGUCAAAGAAAAGGCAACUGAUGUCUUCAUAUUGGACUUCUUGAAAGACUUUUGAUGUCACACCACCUGAACUCUAAAUUGGAGAGAGAUGGAUUUGAAGGCUGGACUACCUGAUCAUAAGAUAUGUCCCUCUUCCCAAUUCUAUGCAUGUAGUGGUCAUGGUAUGCGCAAGGCCAAAAGAAAGGAUUAAUGAAAAUCUGUUUUCUGGAGCUGGUUAGAUGUUCCCUCCAUUUCCCAGUCCACUAAAGAAAAAAACGUCACUUUUUGUUGAGCCUUUUCUUUUCAUGAUUCCAGUUCAUUGAAAUGUCUCACAGAAAACUCUGUUUCAGUGCAGUUUUUAAAAUAUAAAGUGAACAUGACAGAAUGGAAUUCAACUUAAUCCUCUCUUCUUCCUUUAAUAUUUAUAACUUUUAUGAAUCUCGGUGUUAAAUAAUUAAUUUGCUAUGAAUAAUAUUAACUUCUCUCUGGAUGCCGAUCAUUUUAGCAAACGGUAAAAAGCUAGUUGCUUUGACAUUGGAGUUCUCUCUCUGAACUUCAUCCUGUGCAUUGUUCUUCCUCUGUGGAAGGGGGCAGUGGAGCUGACUGCAAUUGUCUAUCCUUACUCACUAGACUGAUUUUGAAGCCUGAGGUUUCUUUUUCUUUUCCUGGAAUAUUUCAGCAUUAAAAAGAAAAAAGAUUUUUGUUAAGUGAAAAGAGAUUUCAGAUGUUUCGCUUUCUCUACUGGAAGAGGUAUAAGUGAAAUAAUGAUCAUCGUCUUUCAGAAAUAAGAACUUUUGAAGUAUCAGAAUAUAAACAAAGACAGAAAUAUCUAGUUUGGCUAUUUUCCUUUGAAAAUAAUCAGGAAUUUUGUUUAGCCCCUUAUUUAAUGUGAUCUUAGCAACAAUUCAGAUGAAUAAUUGGACCUGAAAUUUGUUUAAAUGCACAAUAUACUAGGAAAAAAAGGCUGAUAUGCACAGUAACAUUAUGAUGAAGUAACACAAAAUUAUAUUUGAUUUAAGGUUAUCGACAUCUCACUGGGCUGUACAUUUUAAACCACAUUGGCAUGAUGGAACAGAAGUUGAGAAUUGCUAAUUGCAACAAAUAAUAUUUUAUGCCUGCCUGCACAUGUAUGAUGAUUGUUAAAAGAGAUCUCAUGUAUCCCUCGGUUUCCUAAGAUAUUGUUUUAGCCUCAGUUAAACGCAGUAUCUAAUUGCCAAUUGCAAUGCAUUAUGUUUAUAUAAUAUGAUACUUAUUUUUUCCACUUGAGCAGAUAGAGUGGGUAUCUAUUUAUAUUAUCAUAAUGUUUGAGUCAGUAGAGGCUGAUUAGUUACACUGAAAACUGGCAAAAGCAAAUGCAAUCUCCUGAAUAAAAAUCGGCACAUUUUGUGGUAUGUGAAUGCAAACAGGCAAACAAGAAGGGAAAUGUGUUCUUCUAUAUUAAAGUCCUGGUAGUCUUCUGAUAGAGCCUAUUUAAACCAAUAAAACUGUAAAAUGUGAAAUUCAUCCAAAUUUGUCUUUUUUCCCUUCCCAGAUAACUGAUGAUCUUGGCAUUGCUUAGCAAUAAAUAGACACAGAGAUACAGCCCUUAGCUGAACACUGUGUUAUUUCAUUUUGCAAGGUACACAUAAAGUGCAUCCCUGUUACCACAUUUGAUAGAGUUCAUUUGGGUGAAGAGGCUCUGCGUUGGAUGAGCUGUGUAUUCCACUAAUGAGUAUUUUCUAUAUAUUGCUUCUUAUGAAGAACUGACAGCCUUGUAAUAAUCUGUUUUGACAGUAUUUUCCUAGAAAUAUUGUGUUAAAUAUUUUUAGACAUGAGGGAUCAUGGACAUAUGGAUAUAGUGGUGUGUGCCUUUCUAAUUAUAUGCAUUAUACAAUUUGCCAUUGUUGGAGACUGUUGUACCAUCUUUCAUUCAUUUAAUAAUGCUUUUGCAAAUUGGCAGAUAGCAUUUGGGCUAAAAUACACACAGGGUUUUUGCAGGAAUAAAACAUGCUCUGCCUUUUCUCUAGUGUAGAGCAAUUUGUCAAGUAAUUAGCCAACCUAAUUAAAUUUUUGUAGCACUAAUCAAACGAAUAUGCUAAAAUUUUCUUUGCACAGCCAGUUUGCUGUCUGCUUGCAUUUAACUUGAUGGUUUGAAAGAGGCCCUACUAUGUCUGCCACUCCACUUAAUCACCUCAUUUGCAUUUUAUAUUGGUAAAUUAAAUUAAGCACCAGUGGCUUUUAGUAUGAUUGACUAUGGUCAGGGCUGUUCAGAUGGGACUUUUUCACAGAAAAUUAGGCACAUUUUAAUAUAAGUGAGUCUGUGCUUUCAGCAUUCAGCAAACUACAUUCACUCAGCUAAUUAAAAGUGCUUGUUGCUUUUUGCCAAUGUAUGAUAGAUUUAUCCAGCUGGUGUGUCCAUUUUCUUUUGCAUAAUUUCUUGAUGGAAGUUUUUUAUCUUUAUACAUAAUAAGAUUGUCGAAACAACACUUCAAACCAAUUUGAAAGAACUAUAUAAAUAAUAUUUUGCAGAAGCUAUUUACUUUGAAAGAAAUACACUUGCUGCUCAGCAAACUGAUUAGGCUAUAUAUCUUUGUUUUUACAUCCUUCUACAGCAUAAUCCUUGACACUAGGAAAUUUUCAGCUUUCACUGACCCAGAACACAUCCCUUUCACAAAAUCAUGGUGAAAAGAUGCUGACGAGUACCCCUAACCUUUCUCUCGUGGUGCAGAGUUUGAUCCUCCUGCAGAGCAGGUCACAAUUCUGACCCAAACUCUUACAGAUUAAAUUGCUUAUGGAAUAAAUUUAUUAAAUCUAUCAGGUAUAAGUGUUCUUUCAUUAUUUAUUAUCUCAAAGAAUACUUUUCCAUACGUAAAGCAUUGCCUGCAAUGGAAAUGGACAUUUUUCAGACAGUAUGAACACAAAUAUAAAAAUGCAUUGCCUGAUGAGCUGAAGUUCACAUAUGUGCCAAUAGCCACAAAAUAGAAAAGCAAACAUAUUUCAAAAAAAUAUAUAUCUCAAGCUUUUGUCAGAUUUUGGGAAGAGAUUGACUGGCUUUAAAUUGGUAGUACAACAACAAACAAAAAAAUGAAGGAUUAGAAGAUGUGACCUCCUUUUCAUAACAGAAUUAAAUUCACACAAUGUCACUUACUUCCUUGUGUAUAUAUGCCCAUAAUUCUAUCAUAAAAGGACUGAUAUAACAAAGAAAAUCAUGCUGCUGACUAAGACCUGACAUGAAACAACAUAGGUGACAAAAAGAUCAUUUUAUUCCCAGCCAGUAAAAUAUCUGGUAAUUAUCUGGCCCCAAAGUACUUUCAACAGGCUCGUUCUUCCCCUUUGCUGGAGUGGUAAAGAGCCAUUGGUUUGGCCAGAAGUAUGAAGGUUUUGAUGGAAGGGCAAAGUCUGCACUUUCUUUAGACAGUUGAUAGAAAUGAUUGGCAGCAGGUGAGGUAAGCAAUGAAAGAUUCCGCUGCAGAAACCUCAGUGAAUUUGUCAGAGAAUUGAACAGAAAUUUUAACAUAAAAUGCAAGAGGUUUAUACAGGGAUCCGAAGAAAAUUCUGCCCUCCAAAUGGCAAGACUUUUUGCUGAGGUAGCUGCAGACUGCUCAGACAGUUCUGUCAAUAGAGCUGUGACAGAAGUAAUUUAAGAGAGG
Gallus gallus (chicken) is the source of this 5558-nucleotide long non-coding RNA. Lineage: Eukaryota; Metazoa; Chordata; Aves; Galliformes; Phasianidae. The record is from Ensembl.